Molecule: long non-coding RNA, 1902 nt
Organism: Cephus cinctus (wheat stem sawfly)
Lineage: Eukaryota; Metazoa; Arthropoda; Insecta; Hymenoptera; Cephidae
Exons: 6
Source: RefSeq, a predicted model, not a curated record
CCCAGUGCCGUGAGAAGUGCCUCUGGGCCCAUGUGUCCAUACAUCGUACAUACGUAUAUCUCUCUUUUGGGAGUCAUUCGAAAGGACUCGAGCUACUUAAGGAUACUUAAGAUUCUCCGAAGGAUACACCCACGUCCAAAUGCAUACAUUCAUAGAAUUCUUGGGGUGUACGAGGGGAGGCAUUUUUCGAGGACGUAAGGUGCGAGAGAUGUGUGCGCGACCCUCUCUCAAGUUCUCUCUCUCUCUCUUCUCUCUCAAUACAAGCCGACAAAAAUCGAUUGCCGAUUCUAGUUUGGAUUUCCAAAGGAGUUACGACGAACGGACUCUAUUUCAGCAGAAGGAAGGAAUAUAUUUAAGGAUCGUGGGACAGCGCUCUGGCCGGCGUUCAAAUCACCGUCUAGACGCUACUUUAAACUGUUUAAUGACAUCCCUCGCGAGCCCUUUUACAACUUUCAUGGAAGGUCUACGGAGAAUCCGGAUGCUCGUUGCCAAAGAGGAUUAUUAGUUAAAGUACCGUUAGAAAAUUGUACCAGAAAUUCUCCUGGAGAAUUUGAAAACUAAACAGUAGAAGAGAUCCCCAUGGCACUUAUAAAGCACUGUAUCACAACGGGUGUAAUCGAGUAUCCCGCUGAGUUCCUGAAUCCAGAGUGUGUCAAGUAAAAGAUUAUUGGGCAAGUCCCAAAAGGAAUCAAAGGAGACAAAGUGAUUGGUCAAGUUCGAUAAAAAUGAAAAAUUCACAAGAGGAUAUCCUGGUAGUCCAAGGGAGACGUUUUCCUCAACUAUUCACAGUCACCCUUUGCUUUCUAUUAUUUUUUUGAUAAAAAAUUCUCUUUGAUAAGGAAACAAUGUAAUGAUAAGGCCAGCCGGCUUAACGCGACAGUGUAACCGCAGUGUGUGUGUAACGAUGUCCGAAUGUUGCGAGCGCGAUUCGCGGCCUUCCUUCCCCACCGAAUGGAAGCGGACUUUGGGCCCGUUCACGAUGCCCGGUCGUCUCGGGCAAAAGACCACGAAGGCCUCGACGCAAGCGCAGCCGCAAACGGACCCAGUGAAAGAACUCUCUUCAGGGACCUAUUCCGUGGUUGAUGGUGUGGUGGCUCACCUGUUGAGGCUCCUAGGUGACUCCGGGUACUAAACAGCUCAGGUGGCAGCACCUUGCCUGAAUCAUCAUCUACCUGUUCUCUGGGAUCCACCCUCUGUAUGUAACAGCUACAGGUGCUUUCAAAUAUGCUUGGAUGGAUUGGCUUUUGGGUGGGAGGUAGUCUGGUGUAUCAGGACUGCGUUGACUACCUGGACACUAUUUUUCAUGACUUGGAUACCUGCAGUUUGUUUAAUUGAUGACUAGCAUUUGGAUGCUACGUCAGGUAGUAUUCUUGGGACUGCCAAACUACGUGAGUGCCAAUGACGUAACUGUAGGUAUAGGAUGGAACUACUUCCGGAAUGCGCGAUGCGCCUCAGUGAUCAGUAACGCCAGAGAAUAGGGUGUAGAUAGUAACUUGCGUAUGCAGACAACAUACAGGUAUACCUGUUGACGUUAUAAAAAUUUUAAUGAUUUGAAAAAGGAAAGUAAAAAAUUGUUAUAAUUAUGAGGAAUAAUACCGAAGAAGACGAUGUGCGUUCUCUUGGAUUUUAUACUAAUCGUUAUGUUCAUUGGUUGAAUCAACAGAUCUGAUAUUUUAUAUAUUUUAAUCGUCGGUCAGUCUUAUCAAUGACUAUUUAGAUAGUGGAAAUUGGAUUUUUGCUACUAUUCGCAUCAUUCCAUACGACUGCUAGUAAAUUAUUUCAACUACUGGCCACAUACCCAGUAACGUCUAUUGUAUAUGCGCAGGUGUGCAUGAAUGCGUCAUUCUAGUUGUUGAUUCUGAAUUCGACGACUAAUUCAAAUCGAUUGCUUUCCGAAACGCU